UACCAGACUCCUACGGGAGGCAGCAGUGGGGAAUAUUGCACGAUGGGGGAAACCCUGAUGCAGCAACGCCGCGUGAAGGAAGACGGUUUUCGGAUUGUAAACUUCUGUUCUUAGUGAAGAAGAAUGACGGUAGCUAAGGAGCAAGCCACGGCUAACUACGUGCCAGCAGCCGCGGUAAUACGUAGGUGGCAAGCGUUGUCCGGAAUUACUGGGUGUAAAGGGUGCGCAGGCGGAAGAUCAAGUCAGCGGUAAAAUUGAGGGGCUCACCCUCUGCGAGCCGUUGAAACUGGUUUUCUUGAGUGAGCGAGAAGUAUGCGGAAUGCGUGGUGUAGCGGUGAAAUGCAUAGAUAUCACGCAGAACUCCGAUUGCGAAGGCAGCAUACCGGCGCUCAACUGACGCUCAUGCACGAAAGUGUGGGUAUCGAACAGGAUUAGAUACCCCUGUAA
This 447-nucleotide ribosomal RNA is filed under the name uncultured bacterium. RNAcentral's name for it is "partial 16S ribosomal RNA". It matches the Rfam family "Bacterial small subunit ribosomal RNA", at positions 329 to 793 of the family's 1533-position model. The record is from RNAcentral.